GAACAACAAAUUUGUUUCAGCCACUGUUUUAACCGCUCGAUCCGAGUACCCGUGUGGACCCGGGUUGGGUGCGGGGGUCGUGAGCCGCUCCUUCCGCGCUUUUGUCCUGGUGGUCCCCAGUCGCUCAGUCCUGUCCCACUCUGUGCGACCCCGUGGACAGUAGCCCGCCAGGCUCCUCUGUCCGUGGGAUUCUCCAGGCAGGAAUACUGGAGCGGGUUGCCACGCCCGCCUCCAGGGGAUCUCCCCCACCCGGGGAUCGAACCCGCGUCUCCUGCAAUAGCGAGCAUAUUUACCCCUGCGCCACAGGCGAAGCCCGAGUGACACGUACGCAGUAUCAAAAUGGCCUUUCUGAGAGCGGAUUCGUAUAUCUGUCUGACUGAGUCCCUUCGCUGUACACCUGAAGCUGAUACACAGCACAGACCUGUGCAACAGUCUCCAGCCUCCCCAGCCAGCGGGAGAGAUUCUUUAAUGUCUCAGCCAGCAGAAAGCCCACAAGUUAGGCACCCUGGACAAGACCCCCAUGCAUAAGAAAAUGUUCGUGAGUUACCUUCAGCCUAGAAAAUAAGAAAAAGUGAGAAAAACAAGAUCCAGAACAAGAUACGAACUUCCAAGAAGUUGACGUGCACUUAAGACAAGUGUGUGACUUAGAAGUGGGAGUCUCCUGACCUCUGGAUGUUUCAUGUGGCUGCUGCUGCUGCUAAGUCGCUUCAGUCGUGUCCGACUCUGUGCGACCCCAUAGACGGCAGCCCACCAGGCUCCCUCGUCCCUGGGAUUCUCCAGGCAGGAACACUGGA
Molecule: long non-coding RNA, 794 nt
Organism: Bos taurus (domestic cattle)
Lineage: Eukaryota; Metazoa; Chordata; Mammalia; Artiodactyla; Bovidae
Source: Ensembl